This 485-nucleotide ribosomal RNA is filed under the name uncultured bacterium. RNAcentral describes it as "partial 16S ribosomal RNA". It matches the Rfam family "Bacterial small subunit ribosomal RNA", at positions 30 to 507 of the family's 1533-position model. The record is from RNAcentral.
AUUGAACGCUGGCGGCAGGCUUAACACAUGCAAGUCGAGCGGGGGAAGGUAGCUUGCUCCCGGACCUAGCGGCGGACGGGUGAGUAAUGCUUAGGAAUCUGCCUAUUAGUGGGGGACAACAUCUCGAAAGGGAUGCUAAUACCGCAUACGUCCUACGGGAGAAAGCAGGGGAUCUUCGGACCUUGCGCUAAUAGAUGAGCCUAAGUCGGAUUAGCUAGUUGGUGGGGUAAAGGCCUACCAAGGCGACGAUCUGUAGCGGGUCUGAGAGGAUGAUCCGCCACACUGGGACUGAGACACGGCCCAGACUCCUACGGGAGGCAGCAGUGGGGAAUAUUGGACAAUGGGGGGAACCCUGAUCCAGCCAUGCCGCGUGUGUGAAGAAGGCCUUAGGGUUGUAAAGCACUUUAAGCGAGGAGGAGGCUACUUUAGUUAAUACCUAGAGAUAGUGGACGUUACUCGCAGAAUAAGCACCGGCUAACUCUGUG